This 468-nucleotide unclassified non-coding RNA is filed under the name Hevea brasiliensis (rubber tree). Lineage: Eukaryota; Viridiplantae; Streptophyta; Magnoliopsida; Malpighiales; Euphorbiaceae. The record is from RNAcentral.
CAAUAUCCUUGUAUCAUAUGGAUUAAUAUUCAUUCCUUCUUUGUAUAUUUUUCUUCCUAUUUUGUGUAUUUUAUUAGUUUCUUUGUGUGAUAAAAAUAUUAAUGUAUAAAUAGAAAUAUGUACCAAAUCAUUUACGCACAAAGAAAUAUACUACUUUUCUCCUAAAUUAGUUGCGUCAACAAGAUUAUUAUAUUAAAUUAAUAGAGUUUGAGGGGCGAUGUGUCUAUGAGGAAAAGUGAUAGAGAUGUUUACUUCAACAUUUCUUCAAUGUCAAUUCCAGGCAGAAGUGUGCGAAGAGGCCACUUCCGGUUUUUGAGAAUAUCGUAGGCAGGCUGCUUGACUUGUGAGAAAAUUCGAAUUGCCUAAAUGACCCGUUCCAUUGGGACAAAUCCUGUCUCGUGCAACCCGGUUCAAGGAGACACACUUCCUCCUUAUGCUGAUCCAAAUUCUGAAAACCACUUCUCAUGC